RNAcentral lists this ribosomal RNA (279 nucleotides) under uncultured bacterium. RNAcentral's name for it is "partial 16S ribosomal RNA". It matches the Rfam family "Bacterial small subunit ribosomal RNA", at positions 506 to 784 of the family's 1533-position model. The record is from RNAcentral.
UGCCAGCAUCCGCGGUACCACUGGUUGCGCAAGCGUUAUUCGGAAUUAUUGGGCGUAAAGCGCGCGUAGGCGGACUGUUAAGUCGGCUGUGAAAGCCCUGGGCUCAACCUAGGAACUGCAUCCGAUACUGGCAAUCUAGAGUUUAAGAGAGGGAAGUGGAAUUCCAGGUGUAGCAGUGAAAUGCGUAGAUAUCUGGAGGAACAUCAGUGGCGAAGGCGACUUCCUGGCUUAAAACUGACGCUGAGGUGCGAAAGCUUGGGUAGCGAACGGGAUUAGAUA